AUCUUCAACCCCAUGGCCGAAUAUAGCAAGGAGAAACCAUGGCUAGGGUUUUUCAAGCUUCCAAGCUCGAUUAGCAAGGAAAACUGAAAUUCGGGCUAAAAUGGGGAAAAUACCAAGUGGUGGACGAAAUGGUAAAAAUAGCCAUUUUCGCAUACGAGUGUUGACAAGCCAGCUCGGAAAUCGGAAGCGGUCGGAGGCACGCUCACACUAUCCGUAUACCAUCUUGGCAUAAUGGCUUGUAUAUUUUGAGUAUGGCAUGUAUAGCAUUAUAAUCAUUUUGUAUAUAUGGUCUUAUGAUAUGGUUAUUGAGUGGUAUGGAAA
Gossypium arboreum is the source of this 321-nucleotide long non-coding RNA. RefSeq lists it as uncharacterized. The record is from RefSeq and is a predicted model, not a curated record. The transcript has 3 exons. Lineage: Eukaryota; Viridiplantae; Streptophyta; Magnoliopsida; Malvales; Malvaceae.